GGGCCCUUAGCUCAGUUGGUAGAGCGCCACGUUUACACCGUGGAUGUCGUCGGUUCGAUCCCGGCAGGGCCCACCG
Molecule: transfer RNA, 76 nt
Filed under: Clavibacter michiganensis
Lineage: Bacteria; Bacillati; Actinomycetota; Actinomycetes; Micrococcales; Microbacteriaceae
Description: tRNA-Val
Rfam family: tRNA
About the family: Transfer RNA (tRNA) molecules are approximately 80 nucleotides in length. Their secondary structure includes four short double-helical elements and three loops (D, anti-codon, and T loops). Further hydrogen bonds mediate the characteristic L-shaped molecular structure. tRNAs have two regions of fundamental functional importance: the anti-codon, which is responsible for specific mRNA codon recognition, and the 3' end, to which the tRNAs corresponding amino acid is attached (by aminoacyl-tRNA synthetases). tRNAs cope with the degeneracy of the genetic code in two manners: having more than one tRNA (with a specific anti-codon) for a particular amino acid; and 'wobble' base-pairing, i.e. permitting non-standard base-pairing at the 3rd anti-codon position.
Source: RNAcentral